Molecule: small RNA, 592 nt
Filed under: marine sediment metagenome
Also listed under: 1 other name
Source: RNAcentral
CGGGUGGUGCAGUAUCCUAGUCGGUGCCGCCGCCUCCCAGGACGGGCCUAAAAAUCCGUCAAGGGCACAUCGAUGAAGCUCCUGGUGCUGGCUUUCGACGCCCAGUCGGGGGUUGGUGCUGGGAGUCAAGGGAGUGGGGCAGCCUACAAUGGCAUGUAGGCGCGGACCCUGCUCCCGCGGAGGCCUAAGUGCGUGGUUCGCUUCGAAAGGGGCGAACUAUGGCUUAGGGACAACCUGUAUGCGGUACCGGGGUGGUGCUGUGUACAGCGUAGCCUGCCUUGAGCGGUCUGGGCGGAGGUCGCUUCAAUGGUGGACACCUACGGGCCCGGGUGGACCGAUGGCAACGCGGCCGAAAUCCAGUCCGCAAAAGAGGCUAAGGGGCGGUCAGGUGCUGUCGAGGAAAGCUCCUAGGCUGUUCCGGAAGGAGGCGGGGUGGGGAUUACAGUGCGGGCUAAGUGGCAAUCUAGCACCGCAGAUGGCGACACUGCGGGACGACCAUAAAGGGAAACCGCCGGGGCAGCGAUGCGCCGGAGGUCGUCCGGGAAAGCCUGCUAGACCUAAGCCGCAACAUUUACCCAUCCCGCUACCACCC